This 253-nucleotide ribosomal RNA is filed under the name uncultured bacterium. Its description in RNAcentral is "partial 16S ribosomal RNA". It matches the Rfam family "Bacterial small subunit ribosomal RNA", at positions 524 to 776 of the family's 1533-position model. The record is from RNAcentral.
UACGGAGGGGGCAAGCGGUAUUCGGAAUCAUUGGGCGUAAAGGGCGCGUAGGCGGCUUGGCAAGUCGAAGGUGAAAUCCCCCGGCUCAACUGGGGAACUGCCUUCGAAACUGCCAGGCUAGAGUCCGGGAGAGGGUAGUGGAAUUCCCAGUGUAGCGGUGAAAUGCGUAGAUACUGGGAGGAACACCAGUGGCGAAGGCGGCUACCUGGACCGGUACUGACGCUGAGGCGCGAAAGCGUGGGGAGCAAACAGG